This 214-nucleotide unclassified non-coding RNA is filed under the name soil metagenome. RNAcentral describes it as "partial contains 5.8S ribosomal RNA, internal transcribed spacer 2, and large subunit ribosomal RNA". The record is from RNAcentral.
AACUGAUACUACCUGCGGGAACCUGCGGAAGGAUCAUUACAGAGUUGAAAAACUCCCAAACCCUUGUGAACAUACCUAACGUUGCUUCGGCGGUGCGGCCCUAGGCCGCUGCCUCCCUGUGAGGCGCCCGCCGGAGGUUUACAAACUCUAUGUAUUAUAUUGUCUUCUCUGAGUUGUCUUUUAAAUAAGUCAAAACUUUUAACAACGGAUCUCU